UUGAAAGUGGAGCUUGCUUAAG
This 22-nucleotide unclassified non-coding RNA is filed under the name Chlamydomonas reinhardtii. RNAcentral describes it as "small RNA Cre_3864". The record is from RNAcentral. Lineage: Eukaryota; Viridiplantae; Chlorophyta; Chlorophyceae; Chlamydomonadales; Chlamydomonadaceae.